RNAcentral lists this ribosomal RNA (106 nucleotides) under uncultured bacterium. RNAcentral describes it as "partial 16S ribosomal RNA". It matches the Rfam family "Archaeal small subunit ribosomal RNA", at positions 1323 to 1428 of the family's 1478-position model. The record is from RNAcentral.
UACGUCCCUGCUCCUUGCACACACCGCCCGUCGUUCCACCCGAGCGACUCUUGGGUGAGGCGUGGUCUUCUUUGGCUGCGUCGAAUCUUAGUUUUGUAAGGGGGAA